Molecule: long non-coding RNA, 1568 nt
Filed under: Pan troglodytes (chimpanzee)
Lineage: Eukaryota; Metazoa; Chordata; Mammalia; Primates; Hominidae
Description: long non-coding RNA NONPTRT003875
Source: RNAcentral
GCGGGAGGGGCGCCUCAUCCCUUCACCCUCCCUUUUCGCCAUGUGGGGGCCCUGAGCGCCGCCCCAGAAGAGGUCGAGGGAAUGUUGUGGGCUGGGGCACACCGGCACGGCAGAAACUGGAGAAAGCGAGAGACGUCGCCAGGGACCCAGGGACCUCUCUCUCCAGUUCCCCGGGCCCGCCCGGCCCUGAUGGCCACUCACGCUAUAGCGCCCACUCUGUCCUGGGCCAUCCCGCGCCAGCAGUGUAGCCCCCAGCCCGGGCGCCUGAAUGCUCUCCCUCCGGAUCGCUGCUCGGGUCCCCACUUUGGCGACCGUGCCCCCGAGUCCUGCUUCCCCGGGGCUGCUCUGUAUCAGGCGCCUGCGCCUUCAAGGGUACCCGGCCCGCCUGCCCUCCCCAAGAGCCGAGUUUGCGCUCCUCCCGGAAUCGUUUGAGAGAAGGACAAACUUUUGAGAGGAUGGAAAUCUAGAUGAGCCUGUCCGGAGCAGUUUGAGUCAGAGACCCAUUUCCUUGAGAUGGAGCCAAGCGAGUGCCCCCUCCCGCCUCCAGCACAGUCUCCCGCUCUUCUCCAGUUCCCAAAGGAGGGCAAGGAAAAGGCCCCUACUCUCCUCCCAGGGCUGAGAUUUCCUCCCCCACCCAAGAGAUGCCCCAGGAGGAAGGAAUGGAGAGGUUCUUCAAAGGGCAGUCAAGAGCAGAGGGUGGGUUCAGAGGUCACAGCUGAACUUGGGGCCCAGGACAAGGGGGAAGGGCGGGCCCAGGCCGGUGUAGAAGCUGCGGGGUGGCCUGGGGAAGUGGACAAGGGCAGAGGCCGCUGCAGGUGUUGGGGGGUACCCUGGAGCCCGGGGUGUUCCUGGGCGGGGAGGUUCAGCCAAGCGGCAAGGGUCUGCGCUGUGCCUUUAGUUUUUAGGUUGGGCCCCUCCUGGGGAGCACCCAGCUGCAGGAGCCAGGCAAGUGGCAGAGGACACAUUCGGACUCCUUGGAAAGGGCCAGGAAGCGAUGUGGAUCCCAGGAGAGAAAAUUCCUACGUGGAACAUGUGGUGUUCUGGCCCUUCCUGGGUAGACACCUGCAGAGGCCACUUGGCCCUGCUGGGUCAGAAGCCACAAAUCUGCCCAGGCCUUUGUUUUCGCUAUUCCUGAAGUUUUUCUGCUGUGGCCCAGCACCUGCCCUGGCACCUGCUCGGCAUCUGCUCAUUGGCAAGCCCCGGACGGAGUUGGACUGGCCUAGCUGAGAGGUUUAGGAGGGCUUCCGCUGGCACUGCCAACAGGGAGUUUGGCUUGGUCCCCCAAAAAAAGGGCCUUUGAGAAGGACAUGUCCAGGGGCAGACACAAAAUCCACUGAUACUCAAAACGAAUGUAAACCCUUUUCUUUCCUCACAUCUUGUGGCCCUUCACACCUCUGCAGUUCAGAGGAUUUGGAAUGGAAGGCCUCAUCCAUCCCCAGUCCCAAAGCAAACGUGGGAGCCAGCUUGGGCGUCUUCUUGCAGGCUGCUGGGGCUUUGUGAGCUCUGAGAGAAGAUGUCUGGUCCUCUGCCUACCCCACUCCCCCUUUGAUGAAUGUGGUCCUUUUUGC